Panthera leo (lion) is the source of this 87-nucleotide microRNA precursor. Ensembl annotates it as microRNA 124-3. Its record names the gene MIR124-3. NCBI's taxonomy places the organism in Eukaryota, Metazoa, Chordata, Mammalia, Carnivora, Felidae. The record is from Ensembl.
UGAGGGCCCCUCUGCGUGUUCACAGCGGACCUUGAUUUAAUGUCUAUACAAUUAAGGCACGCGGUGAAUGCCAAGAGAGGCGCCUCC